Molecule: ribosomal RNA, 442 nt
Filed under: uncultured bacterium
Lineage: Bacteria
Description: partial 16S ribosomal RNA
Rfam family: Bacterial small subunit ribosomal RNA
Source: RNAcentral
CCUACGGGAUGCAGCAGUGGGGGAUAUUGCACAAUGGGGGAAACCCUGAUGCAGCGACGCCGCGUGGGCGAAGAAGGAUUUCUGUAUGGAAAGCCCUAUCAGCAGGGAAGAAGAAAUGAAGGUACGUGAGUAAGAAGAACCGGCUAAAUACGUGCCAGCAGCCGCGGUAAUACGGAUGGUGCAGGCGUUAUCCGGAUUUACUGGGUGUAAAGGGAGCGCAGGCGGGACGGAAAGCCUGAUGUGCAAGCCCGCGGCCCACCCGCGGGACUGCCUUGGCAACUCCCGGGCUGGAGUGCCGGAGAGGUAGGCGGAAUUCCUAGUGUAGCGGUGACCUGCUUAGAUAUUAGGCGGCACCCCAGUGGCGCAGGCGGCCUACUGGACGGUGCCUGACGCUGAGGCUCGAAAGCGUGGGGAGCAAACAGGAUUAGAUACCCCGGUAGUC